RNAcentral lists this long non-coding RNA (597 nucleotides) under Medicago truncatula (barrel medic). RNAcentral's name for it is "lncRNA gene47657". Lineage: Eukaryota; Viridiplantae; Streptophyta; Magnoliopsida; Fabales; Fabaceae. The record is from RNAcentral.
GAUGCUUCUUUACUCUGUCUUUGCCUUUAAACCACCAAGAUUCUAAAUAAAUUAUUUUUCGUGAAUAAAGACUCUUAAAUUGGCAUUUUCACAUUGUUGUUUGCCUUGGGUUACCCUUUUUAUCACUACAGCCGGGGCGCAUUGCCUCAUGCACGGAGGAUAAAUCGCAUUUCCAGGAAGACAAUGUGUGAGGGAGCAUCAUGGCCCUGAUCCAUUUUCUAAUUUUUCUUCAUUCUUUAAGUGUUUUUCUUCCUCGAUAUUCUCUUAGGACUUGGGGUAGAAUUUUCCUAACUUGACUUGUCUUCAAAACCUUUGUUUCUCUUGAUUCUUUAGCUUCCCUAACUUCCAUGAGGUGUGUUUCUUUGUUGAAUUACAUGAUUUAACCAUAAAAGACUCAAAACACCUAUGUAGUUAUCUGGUUAUGGAAGAAAUAAAAUUACAACGACUCAAAUCAAAAAAAAUUCAAAAACAAGAGCAACUCGAUCUAAAACCACUAUAGUGUCUUCAAAUGCAUAGAAACACUCGAAAACAAAGCUAAAAACAUCAUAUGCUCAGGCGUAGUCAUUAACCAUCUUAGUUAAACCCCGUACUUGAGAC